UUGGCGAGAAAGGGCGGGGAGCGAGCGGUGUGGGUGUGCUCGUGCCCGCGCGCUCGCGCCUGGAGUGUGGGUGGGGGCUCGUGCGUGCACGCGCAGGGGAGAGGCUAGUGUGGGCCGCCGUUGUCGGGUUCGACUGGAGAGGCGGGGGAGUCACCUGCGAGCGGCUGCGCUCGCCGCCGGUUGCGUCCGGAUCGCGCCGACUGCGCGGGGCCGCGGGCCGCUCACACCCUGGGAGGCCGGGGCAGGGGAGCUUGGCAGAGACCGAUCCCGGCGCCCGGGACGGGGAGUCGUACUCUUGUUGCUGCUGCCGCCGCCGCCGCCCGCGUCCCACCGGGAAAAUCCAACGAUCAGAGCUGGACUGAAGAUACAGCCCUCAAAACACCGAAGUAAAUGCUCAUAGCUCUGGCCCAUUGUGUGAUAACAGGGGAAUCAGACUGACUGCACCAACUUCUAAGGAAAAGCUCUUCUGAAUU
RNAcentral lists this long non-coding RNA (473 nucleotides) under Dasypus novemcinctus (nine-banded armadillo). RNAcentral describes it as "lncRNA (ENSDNOG00000052475.1)". Lineage: Eukaryota; Metazoa; Chordata; Mammalia; Cingulata; Dasypodidae. The record is from RNAcentral.